This is a long non-coding RNA of Phycodurus eques (leafy seadragon), 250 nucleotides long. RefSeq lists it as uncharacterized. The transcript has 3 exons. NCBI's taxonomy places the organism in Eukaryota, Metazoa, Chordata, Actinopteri, Syngnathiformes, Syngnathidae. The record is from RefSeq and is a predicted model, not a curated record.
CCGAUGAAGGUCCCAAGAUGGGGGCCCGGGACGCACGACUCACAGGCCAUGCAGUUCCCUCUAAAGCAGGCGUCACGCGCCAUCUACCGGCAAGUGAGGUGUGUCAACCCGUGGUGUGAAUUCAGGAAUUUAGAGUUCACGAGGUGCACAAUUAAGGCCGAUUGGCCCAAUUACCGUCAAAGGAGGCGAGCCUAAACACAAACAAAGAGACAAGAAAAUGGAUUCGAAUGGAUUCGAAUGGAUUUAGAGG